AUGGUGCUCCAAGCAGCAGCAACAUCCCUGGUGGCAUCUCUGCAGUCACCAUGGAGCGUGCUCUGCGGUGCCGCCGCCCUGCUCGUCAUAUGGGCGGCCGCCCUGGCGGCGGAGAGCUACUGGCUGAGGCCCCGGCGGCUCGGCCGGGCGCUCCGGGCGCAGGGUCUCGGCGGCACGUCGUACCGCUUCCCCGCCGGGGACUCCGCCGAGAACGCCCGGCAGAGCCUGGAGGCGCUGUCCAAGCCCAUGCCACCGUCGUGCCACGACGUCCUUCCCCGCGUGAUGCCGCACCUCCACAACACUGUCAAGGAACACGGUGAAGUUUGCGUCACCUGGGACGGCCCGGACCCCAAGGUUGUCAUCGCAAAGCCAGAGCUGGUGACCGAGAUCCUGUCCAGCAACUCUGGCCACUUCGAGAAACUCAGGACCAAUCUUGGAGACCUGGUAUGCCGCGGGGUCGGGUCCUACGACGGCGAGAAAUGGGCGAGGCACAGGCGGAUUCUCAACCCCGCUUUCCAUCUCGAAAAGCUCAAGGCCAUGUUCCCGGCUUUCUCCACGUGCUGCACCGAGCUGGUGGACAGAUGGGAGAGUAAACUGCUAGCUGCAGGUUCUGAGGGGUCGGUCGAACUCGACGUCUCCCAGGAGUUCCCGGUCCUCACCGGAGACGUGAUCACCCGAACAUCGUUCGGAAGCAGCUUCACCGAAGGACGAAGGAUCUUCGAGCUUCAAGUAGACCAGGCAAAGAGACUUAUGAAGCUCCUCCAGUAUUUGUACAUCCCGGGCUUCUUGUCCUUCCUUACUGAAAACAACAGGAGGAUGUGGGAGAACAAGCGGGAGAUAGAGGGGCUCGUGAGAGGGGUCGUCGAGAAGAGGGAGCGUGCGAUGGACAAGGACGGGGCCAUUGGCAACGACAUGCUUGGCCUGAUGCUACAGUCCAACAGGUCAUCCAAUUCCGACUUGCGGAUGAGCACUCAGGACGUCAUCCAGGAGUGCAAGCUCUUCUACUUCGCGGGAAUGGAGUCCACGCAGCAGCUACUCACAUGGACAGUCGUCAUGCUACGCAUGUACCCCGAGUGGCAAGACCGGGCGAGGGAGGAGGUUCUGGGCGUCUUCGGCAGGGACGGCAAGCCCGGCUUCGACGGCCUAAAUCGACUCAAAACGGCAAGUGCAUCGUCGAAAGUUUGCCUCAGACUAAACAUUCGAUUGCUCUCGUUGCCAGUACAUAUGAUGAUUUAUACCAAAUUUUCCUACAUAUAUAUCCAGAUGACGAUGAUACUGUACGAGGUGCUCAGGCUGUACACGCCGGUGGUCACCAUGAACCGGAAAAUAAGCAAAGAGAUGCAGAUCGGGGGCGUCACCUACCCUGCCGGGACAGUCCUCGAGCUGCCCUUCCUCAUGGUUCACCACAACCCGGACGUGUGGGGGGAAGACGUGUCCGAGUUCAAGCCGCAGAGGUUCGCGGAGGGGAUCUCCAAGGCGACCAAGAAUGGCCAGGUGGGCUUCUUCCCGUUCGGCUGGGGGCCGAGGAUCUGCAUAGGCAAUAACUUCGCCAUGCUCGAGGCCAAGAUGGCGGUGAGCAUGAUCCUUCAGCGUUUCGAGUUCCGGCUCUCGCCUUCUUACGCCCAUGCGCCCUGCACCGUGAUAACGCUGCAUCCUCAGCAUGGCGCGCAAAUUAUGCUCAAGAGUCUCUGA
RNAcentral lists this ribosomal RNA (1692 nucleotides) under Triticum aestivum (bread wheat). Its description in RNAcentral is "partial small subunit ribosomal RNA". Lineage: Eukaryota; Viridiplantae; Streptophyta; Magnoliopsida; Poales; Poaceae. The record is from RNAcentral.